CCUACGGGUGGCAGCAGUGGGGAAUAUUGGACAAUGGGCGAAAGCCUGAUCCAGCCAUGCCGCGUGUGUGAAGAAGGCCUUCGGGUUGUAAAGCGCUUUCAGUGGGGAAGAAAGCCUUGGGGCUAAUACCCUCGAGGAAGGACAUCACCCACAGAAGAAGCACCGGCUAACUCCGUGCCAGCAGCCGCGGUAAUACGGAGGGUGCGAGCGUUAAUCGGAAUUACUGGGCGUAAAGCGCGCGUAGGCGGUCUGAUAAGCCGGUUGUGAAAGCCCCGGGCUCAACCUGGGAACGGCAUCCGGAACUGUCAGGCUAGAGUGCAGGAGAGGAAGGUAGAAUUCCCGGUGUAGCGGUGAAAUGCGUAGAGAUCGGGAGGAAUACCAGUGGCGAAGGCGGCCUUCUGGACUGACACUGACGCUGAGGUGCGAAAGCGUGGGUAGCAAACAGGAUUAGAUACCCGUGUAGUC
RNAcentral lists this ribosomal RNA (465 nucleotides) under Vreelandella stevensii. RNAcentral's name for it is "partial 16S ribosomal RNA". It matches the Rfam family "Bacterial small subunit ribosomal RNA", at positions 338 to 795 of the family's 1533-position model. The record is from RNAcentral. Lineage: Bacteria; Pseudomonadati; Pseudomonadota; Gammaproteobacteria; Oceanospirillales; Halomonadaceae.